AGCGAGGAAAGAACCAACAGGGAUUGCCUCAGUAACGGCGAGUGAAGCGGCAACAGCUCAAAUUUGAAAUCUGGCCCUUUCAGGGUCCGAGUUGUAAUUUGCAGAGGGUGCUUUGGCGUCGGCCGUGGUCUAAGUUCCUUGGAACAGGACGUCACAGAGGGUGAGAAUCCCGUACGUGGCCGCCGGUCUUCGCCGUGUAAAGCCCCUUCGACGAGUCGAGUUGUUUGGGAAUGCAGCUCUAAAUGGGAGAUACAUUUCUUCUAAAGCUAAAUAUUGGCCAGAGACCGAUAGCGCACAAGUAGAGUGAUCGAAAGAUGAAAAGCACUUUGGAAAGAGAGUCAAAAAGCACGUGAAAUUGUUGAAAGGGAAGCGCUUGCAGCCAGACGUGCCCGCAGUUGCUCACCCGGGCUCUCGCCCGGGGCACUCUUCUGCGGGCAGGCCAGCAUCAGUUCGGGCGGUUGGAUAAAGGCCUCUAUCACGUACCACCCUUCGGGGUGUCCUUAUAGGGGAGGCGCAACACGGCCAGCCUGAACUGAGGACCGCGCAUCAGCUAGGAUGCUGGCGUAAUGGCUGUAAGCGGCCCGUCUUGAAACACGGACCAAGGAGUCUAACAUCUAUGCGAGUGUUUGGGUGUCAAGCCCGGGCGCGCAAUGAAAGUGAACGGAGGUGGGAACCCUUUGGGUGCACCAUCGACCGAUCCUGAAGUCUUCGGAUGGAUUUGAGUAAGAGCAUAGCUGUUGGGACCCGAAAGAUGGUGAACUAUGCCUGAAUAGGGUGAAGCCAGGGGAAACCCUGGUGGAGGCUCGCAGCGGUUCUGACGUGCAAAUCGAUCGUCAAUUUGGGCAUAGGGGCGAAAGACUAAUCGAACAUCUAGAGCUGUC
Molecule: ribosomal RNA, 881 nt
Filed under: Neoroussoella peltophora
Lineage: Eukaryota; Fungi; Ascomycota; Dothideomycetes; Pleosporales; Thyridariaceae
Description: Neoroussoella sp. PP-2021a partial large subunit ribosomal RNA
Rfam family: Eukaryotic large subunit ribosomal RNA
Source: RNAcentral